GAUGAACGCUGGCGGCGUGCCUAAUACAUGCCAGUCGAGCGAACGGACGAGAAGCUUGCUUCUCUGGUGUUAGCGGCGGACGGGUGAGUAACACGUGGAUAACCUACCUAUAAGACUGGGAUAACUUCGGGAAACCGUAGCUAAUACCGGAUAAUAUUUUGAACCGCAUGGUUCAAAAGUGAAAGACGGUCUUGCUGUCACUUAUAGAUGGAUCCGCGCUGCAUUAGCUAGUUGGUAAGGUAACGGCUUACCAAGGCAACGAUGCAUAGCCGACCUGAGAGGGUGAUCGGCCACACUGGAACUGAGACACGGUCCAGACUCCUACGGGAGGCAGCAGUAGGGAAUCUUCCGCAAUGGGCGAAAGCCUGACGGAGCAACGCCGCGUGAGUGAUGAAGGUCUUCGGAUCGUAAAACUCUGUUAUUAGGGAAGAACAUAUGUGUAAGUAACUGUGCACAUCUUGACGGUACCUAAUCAGAAAGCCACGGCUAACUACGUG
RNAcentral lists this ribosomal RNA (497 nucleotides) under uncultured bacterium. RNAcentral's name for it is "partial 16S ribosomal RNA". It matches the Rfam family "Bacterial small subunit ribosomal RNA", at positions 28 to 507 of the family's 1533-position model. The record is from RNAcentral.